GAUCCUCGCUCAGGAUGAACGCUGGCGGCGUGCCUAACACAUGCAAGUCGAGCGAAGCACUUUGCUUAGAUUCUUCGGAUGAAGAGGAUUGUGACUGAGCGGGCGGACGGGUGAGGUAACGCGUGGGUAACCUGCCUCAUACAGGGGGAUAACAGUUAGAAAUGACUGCUAAUACCGCAUAAGACCACAGCACCGCAUGGUGCGGGGGGUAAAAACUCCGGUGGUAUGAGAUGGACCCGCG
Molecule: ribosomal RNA, 241 nt
Filed under: uncultured bacterium
Lineage: Bacteria
Description: partial 16S ribosomal RNA
Rfam family: Bacterial small subunit ribosomal RNA
Source: RNAcentral